Molecule: ribosomal RNA, 194 nt
Filed under: uncultured bacterium
Lineage: Bacteria
Description: partial 16S ribosomal RNA
Rfam family: Bacterial small subunit ribosomal RNA
Source: RNAcentral
GCAACUCGAGUGCAUGAAGCUGGAAUCGCUAGUAAUCGCGGAUCAGAAUGCCGCGAUGAAUACGUUCCCGGGUCUUGUACACACCGCCCGUCACACCAUGGGAGUCGGGAAUGCCCGAAGCCGGUGGCCCAAUCGAAAGAAGGGAGCCGUCGAAGGCAGGCCGGAUGACUGGGGUGAAGUCGUAACAAGGUAUC